GCUUACGGACACACCACCCUGAGCACGCCCGAUCUCGUCCGAUCUCGGAAGCUAACCAGGGUCGGGCCUGGUUAGUACUUGGAUGGGAGACCGCCUGGGAAUACCAGGUGCUGUAAGCU
Molecule: ribosomal RNA, 119 nt
Filed under: Myripristis murdjan (pinecone soldierfish)
Lineage: Eukaryota; Metazoa; Chordata; Actinopteri; Holocentriformes; Holocentridae
Source: RNAcentral